CCGAGUUGAUUCGAGCUCCGGCUCGACUCUCCCACCCUCUGUUUACCUACCUCUGUUGCUUUGGCGGGCAGGCCCCCGGGCCCCCGCCAGAGGAAUUCAAAACUCCAGUCAGUGAACGUCUCAGUCUGAAAAACAAGUUAAUAAACUA
RNAcentral lists this unclassified non-coding RNA (148 nucleotides) under uncultured Spencermartinsia. Its description in RNAcentral is "sequence contains ITS1". Lineage: Eukaryota; Fungi; Ascomycota; Dothideomycetes; Botryosphaeriales; Botryosphaeriaceae. The record is from RNAcentral.